Notothenia coriiceps (black rockcod) is the source of this 401-nucleotide long non-coding RNA. RefSeq lists it as uncharacterized. The transcript has 3 exons. Lineage: Eukaryota; Metazoa; Chordata; Actinopteri; Perciformes; Nototheniidae. The record is from RefSeq and is a predicted model, not a curated record.
CAGAAUCUGUCUGAAGGAAAGUAUAAAAGCUUCGAUGAGUUCAAAGCCGACGCUCAGCUGAUCGUCCACAACACGGCCAUCCUGUACGGAGUUAACAGCGACCAGGCGGAAAUCGCUCGGCUGCUUUUCAGCGACACAUGCCACGAGCUCAACGAGUUGUUGUUGUGUAAAACCUGUUUCUACCUGUCCAACGCGCGGCCAGACAACUGGUUCUGUUACCCCUGUGUGAGUACAACAACAACAACAACAACAACAAACAUACACAACUACAGCUUCUCUGGACCAAAUGGCUCUUAAAACACACACACACAGUUUGAUUGUGUUCUACAAAGCACACUGUUUGUCACUGUUCGAACAGAAACCAACUUUUUUGACACAAAUGUUUGGACAGUUUUGAGCCA